GCUUUGAUGGUGUAAUUGGUAAGCACAACAGACUUCACAUCUGUGAGUACGGGUUCAUGACCUGCCUAGGGUU
Non-coding RNA from Dictyocaulus viviparus (bovine lungworm), 73 nucleotides. Lineage: Eukaryota; Metazoa; Nematoda; Chromadorea; Rhabditida; Metastrongylidae. The record is from Rfam.